CUGUCGGUGGUUCAAUGGUAGAAUGAUCGCGUGCCACGCGGGCGACCCGGCUCAAUUUUCGGCCGAUGGA
Non-coding RNA from Dictyocaulus viviparus (bovine lungworm), 70 nucleotides. The record is from the annotation of a GenBank genome assembly. Lineage: Eukaryota; Metazoa; Nematoda; Chromadorea; Rhabditida; Metastrongylidae.